RNAcentral lists this long non-coding RNA (1284 nucleotides) under Elaeis guineensis (African oil palm). Its description in RNAcentral is "long non-coding RNA (EGUI_LNC060095)". The record is from RNAcentral. Lineage: Eukaryota; Viridiplantae; Streptophyta; Magnoliopsida; Arecales; Arecaceae.
AUAGAAUAGCAGAACACGAGACUACCUCAAGUAAAAAUAUAUAGAGGUGCAGAGAGCAAACUCCACAUGCGAUGUGGUUGACCCGUUGGUAAGUCAUUGAGCUAGCCUAAGACUAAAGCCUGUCUUGUAAAGAUAGGACUUGGUACAUAGCAGAUUGAUUUUAGUGCAAGUGAGAGAUUAUUGGAUGUAUGCCCUAGAAGCCAAUCUUGACUGACACAUUUUAUAUCUCUAGGACAUGAUUUUGUACUUAUUGAGCAGUUAUAGUACCAUUCAUAUUUAUGUAUCCAUGAAUCAUCCAAGAGAUUAAUAAAAUAAUGAUAUAUAUUCUCAAAGAAUUGAGAAUUUGAGGCAUAUGUCAUUAAUGGUUGAUUCCUAAAUUACUCCUGAUCAUAGGAUCAUCAUAAGGAUGGUGAUUGAUUCGAAUAGACCAGUGCACGAAUCGCUUUCUUCGGAUAGAUGGAUCUCGAGUCUGCAGUAUAGAGACACUGGAACGAGAGUGCAGGUAGUUGUUGGAGAAUAACUAGCACUGAGCAUGACCAACACGAGAAGUCAUAUGGAUGUCUGCUCACUCGUCAGUGACUUUCUCGAUGCUGCAGUUGUAUGACUGAUCUUUUGACCUGAGAUGACACUACUGUUUGCAGUGAGACUGCUGGAGUUUGACUGACACAUCAACAUAGAUCUCAAUGAGCCCUUGUAGUAGAUGUUGGCGACAGUUGGUCCAUUGUAGGAGUGGGGUGUGCAUCAAGAUGGAAUCUAUCGAUCCUAGCAGAAAAGAGUAGUCCUAUGAGAUUUAAGAGGCUGAGUCCUUAAGUCUAUGAUCAUAGCAUUAUGAUUGAUGAAAAGAGUUUUCAUGGAAUCACAUAUGGACUCGAGCUGAUUGAAUCUAUCAUAUGACCGAUAUUGAGAUUUGAUAAUUCAUCCAUAACCUGCCAUCUGAUUAGGACUCAUGAUAGAGGGACUGUAUCAUGCACUAACUGCACCUAAAGGUUCAUCUUUUAUUCUGCUGGAUUGCCACUACAUACUGCUAGGCGUCACUAGUGGAUUGUGAGACUCAUGAGGAUCAUUUUGAUGAUCAAUGAUCCUUAGUGGGCUGAAUUGAAAUUAUUUCAAUUUAUUGAAAAGAGUUUCAAUGAUAUUAUGAUAGAGAUCAUAAUAUAUCUUACUUCCAGAUAGAAUAGAACCUAUGGGGUCACACACAAAAGAGAUUUUGACUGAUCAGAUGAUUGAAUUACGAUUAUGAAUCGUAACAGAAUUUGAUUAUCAAUUUGAUUGAUAAUUGAUUAA